Molecule: long non-coding RNA, 407 nt
Organism: Apus apus (common swift)
Lineage: Eukaryota; Metazoa; Chordata; Aves; Apodiformes; Apodidae
Exons: 2
Source: RefSeq, a predicted model, not a curated record
AAUUUACUACCCAGGUUUCUUGCUUAAUUAGUCAGAUGAAGAAGGAAAAGUGAAUGCAUAAAAGAACACAAGGAGAUCACCAGGACCUGGCGUCUUUCACAGGAGAGCAUCACCAGCCAGCUCCAGCAGGUUCCAGAUUAAUUUUUCUUCACGGGACAUUGAUCACUGUUGAUCCUGAACACCAUCUCUCAUCUGCCUCCAGGCAACUAAAGAGGACCACAGGGAAGACAGAAAAAAAAUCUUCCCUGGGUCAGCAUUUUCAGACAGAAAACUGUUUUCAAGGAUUUAAUUCUGAUGAUAAGGCAGAGUUAUAUUUUCCACUUUGAAACCAAGCUUUUUCUAGCUUCUUGUUGUUGAUCCCUCCAUACUGUCAAAUAGGAAAAGUAAUUAAAAAAAUGUGCUGCAAA